AGGUAAAUAGAUGGCUGUUGGGUCAGGGCUCUGAGAGGUUAGGAGGUAAAUAGAUGGCUGUUGGGUCAGGGCUCUGAGAGGUUAGGAGGUAAAUAGAUGGCUGUUGGGUCAGGGCUCUGAGAGGUUAGGAGGUAAAUAGAUGGCUGUUGGGUCAGGGCUCUGAGAGGUUAGGAGGUAAAUAGAUGGCUGUUGGGUCAGGGCUCUGAGAGGUUAGGAGGUAAAUAGAUGGCUGUUGGGUCAGGGCUCUGAGAGGUUAGGAGGUAAAUAGAUGGCUGUUGGGUCAGGGCUCUGAGAGGUUAGGAGGUAAAUAGAUGGCUGUUGGGUCAGGGCUCUGAGAGGUUAGGAGGUAAAUAGAUGGCUGUUGGGUCAGGGCUCUGAGAGGUUAGGAGGUAAAUAGAUGGCUGUUGGGUCAGGGCUCUGAGAGGUUAGGGGGUAAAUAGAUGGCUGUUGGGUCAGGGCUCUGAGAGGUUAGGAGGUAAAUAGAUGGCUGUUGGGUCAGGGCUCUGAGAGGUUAGGAGGUAAAUAGAUGGCUGUUGGGUCAGGGCUCUGAGAGGUUAGGAGGUAAAUAGAUGGCUGUUGGGUCAGGGCUCUGAGAGGUUAGGAGGUAAAUAGAUGGCUGUUGGGUCAGGGCUCUGAGAGGUUAGGAGGUAAAUAGAUGGCUGUUGGGUCAGGGCUCUGAGAGGUUAGGAGGUAAAUAGAUGGCUGUUGGGUCAGGGCUCUGAGAGGUUAGGAGGUAAAUAGAUGGCUGUUGGGUCAGGGCUCUGAGAGGUUAGGAGGUAAAUAGAUGGCUGUUGGGUCAGGGCUCUGAGAGGUUAGGAGGUAAAUAGAUGGCUGUUGGGUCAGGGCUCUGAGAGGUUAGGAGGUAAAUAGAUGGCUGUUGGGUCAGGGCUCUGAGAGGUUAGGAGGUAAAUAGAUGGCUGUUGGGUCAGGGCUCUGAGAGGUUAGGAGGUAAAUAGAUGGCUGUUGGGUCAGGGCUCUGAGAGGUUAGGAGGUAAAUAGAUGGCUGUUGGGUCAGGGCUCUGAGAGGUUAGGAGGUAAAUAGAUGGCUGUUGGGUCAGGGCUCUGAGAGGUUAGGAGGUAAAUAGAUGGCUGUUGGGUCAGGGCUCAGAGGUUUGGAGGUAAAUAGAUGGCUGUUGGGUCAGGGCUCUGAGAGGUUUGGAGGUGUGAAGAGCUUAAUUUCUAUUCAAUUAUGUAUUUUCAAUGUUGGAAAGGCUGUGUAAAUGUGUUACCUUUUUGUGCAUAAAAUUGCUACACUAAUUGUCUGUGUUUUUUGUCCGUCAGCCACUCUAGACACAUUCUGUCUCUAUCAGCUUUUCAGUUGCAGUCAGAGUC
Oncorhynchus keta (chum salmon) is the source of this 1332-nucleotide long non-coding RNA. RefSeq lists it as uncharacterized. The transcript has 4 exons. Lineage: Eukaryota; Metazoa; Chordata; Actinopteri; Salmoniformes; Salmonidae. The record is from RefSeq and is a predicted model, not a curated record.